GAUGAACGCUGGCGGCGUGCCUAAUACAUGCAAGUCGAGCGGUAACACUUCGGGUGACGAGCGGCGGACGGCUGAGUAACACGUAGGCACGUACCCCAAACUGAGGGAUAAGCACCGGAAACGGUGUCUAAUACCGCAUGUGGUCUUCGGAUUAAAGCUUCGGCGGUUUGGGAACGGCCUGCGCAUGAUUAGCUUGUUGGUGAGGUAAAAGCUCACCAAGGCGACGAUCAUUAGCUGGUCUGAGAGGAUGAUCAGGCAGACUGGGACUGAUACACGGCCCAGACUCCUACGGGAGGCAGCAGUAGGGAAUUUUCCACAAUGGGCGAAAGUCUGAUGGAGCAACGCCGCGUGCAGGAUGAAUGCCUUCGGGUUGUAAACUGCUUUUAUUGGUGACGAUUAUGACGGUAGCCAAUGAAUAAGGAUCGGCUAACUCCGUGCCAGCCGCCGCGGUA
This 452-nucleotide ribosomal RNA is filed under the name uncultured bacterium. Its description in RNAcentral is "partial 16S ribosomal RNA". It matches the Rfam family "Bacterial small subunit ribosomal RNA", at positions 28 to 522 of the family's 1533-position model. The record is from RNAcentral.